Molecule: ribosomal RNA, 1527 nt
Filed under: Klebsiella variicola
Lineage: Bacteria; Pseudomonadati; Pseudomonadota; Gammaproteobacteria; Enterobacterales; Enterobacteriaceae
Description: bacterial SSU rRNA
Rfam family: Bacterial small subunit ribosomal RNA
Source: RNAcentral
AGAGUUUGAUCAUGGCUCAGAUUGAACGCUGGCGGCAGGCCUAACACAUGCAAGUCGAGCGGUAGCACAGAGAGCUUGCUCUCGGGUGACGAGCGGCGGACGGGUGAGUAAUGUCUGGGAAACUGCCUGAUGGAGGGGGAUAACUACUGGAAACGGUAGCUAAUACCGCAUAACGUCGCAAGACCAAAGUGGGGGACCUUCGGGCCUCAUGCCAUCAGAUGUGCCCAGAUGGGAUUAGCUAGUAGGUGGGGUAACGGCUCACCUAGGCGACGAUCCCUAGCUGGUCUGAGAGGAUGACCAGCCACACUGGAACUGAGACACGGUCCAGACUCCUACGGAGGCAGCAGUGGGGAAUAUUGCACAAUGGGCGCAAGCCUGAUGCAGCCAUGCCGCGUGUGUGAAGAAGGCCUUCGGGUUGUAAAGCACUUUCAGCGGGGAGGAAGGCGGUGAGGUUAAUAACCUCAUCGAUUGACGUUACCCGCAGAAGAAGCACCGGCUAACUCCGUGCCAGCAGCCGCGGUAAUACGGAGGGUGCAAGCGUUAAUCGGAAUUACUGGGCGUAAAGCGCACGCAGGCGGUCUGUCAAGUCGGAUGUGAAAUCCCCGGGCUCAACCUGGGAACUGCAUUCGAAACUGGCAGGCUAGAGUCUUGUAGAGGGGGGUAGAAUUCCAGGUGUAGCGGUGAAAUGCGUAGAGAUCUGGAGGAAUACCGGUGGCGAAGGCGGCCCCCUGGACAAAGACUGACGCUCAGGUGCGAAAGCGUGGGGAGCAAACAGGAUUAGAUACCCUGGUAGUCCACGCUGUAAACGAUGUCGAUUUGGAGGUUGUGCCCUUGAGGCGUGGCUUCCGGAGCUAACGCGUUAAAUCGACCGCCUGGGGAGUACGGCCGCAAGGUUAAAACUCAAAUGAAUUGACGGGGGCCCGCACAAGCGGUGGAGCAUGUGGUUUAAUUCGAUGCAACGCGAAGAACCUUACCUGGUCUUGACAUCCACAGAACUUUCCAGAGAUGGAUUGGUGCCUUCGGGAACUGUGAGACAGGUGCUGCAUGGCUGUCGUCAGCUCGUGUUGUGAAAUGUUGGGUUAAGUCCCGCAACGAGCGCAACCCUUAUCCUUUGUUGCCAGCGGUCCGGCCGGGAACUCAAAGGAGACUGCCAGUGAUAAACUGGAGGAAGGUGGGGAUGACGUCAAGUCAUCAUGGCCCUUACGACCAGGGCUACACACGUGCUACAAUGGCAUAUACAAAGAGAAGCGACCUCGCGAGAGCAAGCGGACCUCAUAAAGUAUGUCGUAGUCCGGAUUGGAGUCUGCAACUCGACUCCAUGAAGUCGGAAUCGCUAGUAAUCGUAGAUCAGAAUGCUACGGUGAAUACGUUCCCGGGCCUUGUACACACCGCCCGUCACACCAUGGGAGUGGGUUGCAAAAGAAGUAGGUAGCUUAACCUUCGGGAGGGCGCUUACCACUUUGUGAUUCAUGACUGGGGUGAAGUCGUAACAAGGUAACCGUAGGGGAACCUGCGGUUGGAUCACCU